Molecule: long non-coding RNA, 214 nt
Organism: Impatiens glandulifera
Lineage: Eukaryota; Viridiplantae; Streptophyta; Magnoliopsida; Ericales; Balsaminaceae
Exons: 3
Source: RefSeq, a predicted model, not a curated record
UAGGGUUCAUCGAUUUUUAUAUAAACAUCCAACAAUUUAUAGGUAAAGAAGAGAAGUGGAGAUAGUGAACUGCUCCUCAGUGCCUUUGGGAAGAGGGUGUACUUUUGGGGUUAAAGAAAUGGGACAUACUCAGAAAUUCUGGCACAUUUAUCCAGACUCUUGGGGUUAAAUCUAGGCAUGCUUUAUCAUAAACAGGUCACAGAACUAAAGGACU